Amphiprion ocellaris (clown anemonefish) is the source of this 472-nucleotide long non-coding RNA. RefSeq lists it as uncharacterized. NCBI's taxonomy places the organism in Eukaryota, Metazoa, Chordata, Actinopteri, Pomacentridae. The record is from RefSeq and is a predicted model, not a curated record. The transcript has 3 exons.
GUCUGCGGUGGGAUCAUGGCCGGACACUGCUCCCAAGCUUUCGGGUAGUUGGGGAGAAAACGAAGAAGCGAUAUAUGGACAUACUUUGUUUACAUACAAGUGAAACAAAACGGAAUGUGUCGUGGAAAAAGACGGGGAGAAAUGCGGCCACAAAAUAACGGGGAAAAACACGACAAACUUAAAAAGGCAUCUCAAGAGCUUCCAUGGUGAAAUCGAGGAUUACCACAGACCUGACUGUGAACACCGUUGACACCCACCUCAGGGAGACGCUGCCUAAGAUCUCAAGGCUGCUUGGUCGUGGUCUUUUUGGCACGUACUCUUCCAAGAUGAGCCGGGAAGUUUAACACUGAUGGAAUGACACCAGGUCUAAGCCGACAAACUUCCAAUUCCUCCUCAACUCAUAGUCUCUGGGAAACCUACAUGGAGUAAGAAAAGUAGACAGAGAAGCAGACGUGGGAGUAGGAAGACAUCC